GACGAACGCUGGCGGCGUGCUUAACACAUGCAAGUCGAGCGGUAAGGCCCUUUCGGGGGUACGACGAGCGGCGAACGGGUGAGUAACACGUGGGUGACCUGCCCUCCAGCUCUGGGAUAAGCCUGGGAAACCGGGUCUAAUACUGGAUAUGACUCCAUGACGCAUGUUGUGGGGUGGAAAGCCUUGUGCGGCUGAGGAUGGGCCCGCGGCCUAUCAGCUUGUUGGUGGGGUGAGGCCUACCAAGGCGACGACGGGUAGCCGGCCUGAGAGGGCGACCGGCCACACUGGGACUGAGACACGGCCCAGACUCCUACGGGAGGGCAGCAGUGGGGAAUCUUGCGCAAUGGGCGAAAGCCUGACGCAGCGACGCCGCGUGAGGGAUGACGGCCU
RNAcentral lists this ribosomal RNA (390 nucleotides) under uncultured bacterium. RNAcentral's name for it is "bacterial SSU rRNA". It matches the Rfam family "Bacterial small subunit ribosomal RNA", at positions 28 to 417 of the family's 1533-position model. The record is from RNAcentral.